RNAcentral lists this ribosomal RNA (377 nucleotides) under Escherichia coli. Its description in RNAcentral is "partial 23S ribosomal RNA". It matches the Rfam family "Bacterial large subunit ribosomal RNA", at positions 1 to 409 of the family's 2925-position model. Lineage: Bacteria; Pseudomonadati; Pseudomonadota; Gammaproteobacteria; Enterobacterales; Enterobacteriaceae. The record is from RNAcentral.
GGGUUGUGAGGUUAAGCGACUAAGCGUACACGGUGGAUGCCCUGGCAGUCAGAGGCGAUGAAGGACGUGCUAAUCUGCGAUAAGCGUCGGUAAGGUGAUAUGAACCGUUAUAACCGGCGAUUUCCGAAUGGGGAAACCCAGUGUGAUGCGUCACACUAUCAUUAACUGAAUCCAUAGGUUAAUGAGGCGAACCGGGGGAACUGAAACAUCUAAGUACCCCGAGGAAAAGAAAUCAACCGAGAUUCCCCCAGUAGCGGCGAGCGAACGGGGAGCAGCCCAGAGCCUGAAUCAGUGUGUGUGUUAGUGGAAGCGUCUGGAAAGGCGCGCGAUACAGGGUGACAGCCCCGUACACAAAAAUGCACAUAUUGUGAGCUCGA